UCUCCGUAGGUGAACCUGCGGAGGGAUCAUUACACAAAUAUGAAGGCGGGCUGGAACCUCUCGGGGUUACAGCCUUGCUGAAUUAUUCACCCUUGUCUUUUGCGUACUUCUUGUUUCCUUGGUGGGUUCGCCCACCACUAGGACAAACAUAAACCUUUUGUAAUUGCAAUCAGCGUCAGUAACAAAUUAAUAAUUACAACUUUCAACAACGGAUCUCUUGGUUCUGGCAUCGAUGAAGAACGCAGCGAAAUGCGAUAAGUAGUGUGAAUUGCAGAAUUCAGUGAAUCAUCGAAUCUUUGAACGCACAUUGCGCCCUUUGGUAUUCCAAAGGGCAUGCCUGUUCGAGCGUCAUUUGUACCCUCAAGCUUUGCUUGGUGUUGAGCGUCUUGUCUCUAGCUUUGCUGGAGACUCGCCUUAAAGUAAUUGGCAGCCGGCCUACUGGUUUCGGAGCGCAGCACAAGUCGCACUCUCUAUCAGCAAAGGUCUAGCAUCCAUUAAGCCUUUUUUUCAACUUUUGACCUCGGAUCAGGUAGGGAUACCCGCUGAACUUAAGCAUAUC
Molecule: ribosomal RNA, 559 nt
Filed under: uncultured fungus
Lineage: Eukaryota; Fungi
Description: eukaryotic LSU rRNA
Rfam family: 5.8S ribosomal RNA (bases 198-351)
Source: RNAcentral